This 1046-nucleotide ribosomal RNA is filed under the name uncultured bacterium. RNAcentral's name for it is "bacterial SSU rRNA". It matches the Rfam family "Bacterial small subunit ribosomal RNA", at positions 446 to 1490 of the family's 1533-position model. The record is from RNAcentral.
GGUAGCCGUUAAUAGCGGCUAUCUAUGAUGUUACCCACAGAAUAAGCACCGGCAAACUUCGUGCCAGCAGCCGCGGUAAUACGAAGGGUGCGAGCGUUAAUCGGAAUUACUGGGCGUAAAGAGCACGUAGGCGGUUUGAUAAGCGGAAUGUGAAAUCCCCGGGCUUAACCUGGGAACUGCAUUCCGAACUGUCAGGCUAGAGUAUGAUAGAGGUGAGCGGAAUUUCCUGUGUAGCGGUGAAAUGCGUAGAUAUAGGAAGGAACAUCAGUUGCGAAGGCGGCUCACUGGAUCAAUACUGACGCUGAGGUGCGAAAGCGUGGGUAGCGAACAGGAUUAGAUACCCUGGUAGUCCACGCCGUAAACGAUGUCUACUAGCCGUUAGGGUACUUGAUACCCUAGUGGCGCAGCUAACGCGGUAAGUAGACCGCCUGGGGAGUACGGCCGCAAGGUUAAAACUCAAAUGAAUUGACGGGGGCCCGCACAAGCGGUGGAGUAUGUGGUUUAAUUCGACGCAACGCGAAGAACCUUACCAGGCCUUGACAUCCUCGGAACUUUCUAGAGAUAGAUUGGUGCCGCAAGGAGCCGAGAGACAGGUGCUGCAUGGCUGUCGUCAGCUCGUGUCGUGAGAUGUUGGGUUAAGUCCCGUAACGAGCGCAACCCUUGUCCUUAGUUGCCAACAGGUUAUGCUGGGAACUCUAAGGAGACUGCCGGUGACAAACCGGAGGAAGGUGGGGAUGACGUCAAGUCAUCAUGGCCCUUACGGCCUGGGCUACACACGUACUACAAUGGAGCGUACAGAGGGCUGCAAACCCGCGAGGGGGAGCCAAUCCCACAAAACGCUUCGUAGUCAGGAUUGGAGUCUGCAACUCGACUCCAUGAAUUCGGAAUCGCUAGUAAUCGCAAAUCAGAAUGUUGCGGUGAAUACGUUCCCGGGCCUUGUACACACCGCCCGUCACACCAUGGGAGUGGGUUGCAAAAGAAGUAGUUAGCCUAACCGCAAGGAAGGCGAUUACCACUUUGUGAUUCAUGACUGGGGUGAAGUCGUA